UCAAGAAACUUCCACAAUGGGCGAAAGCCUGAUGGAGCGACGUCGCGUGAUGGACGAAGUGCUUCGGCACGUAAACAUCUUUUAUGUGGGAUGAAAUUAUUGACAGUACCACAUGAAUAAGGGGCUCCUAACUCUGUGCCAGCAGGAGCGGUAAUACAGAGGCCCCAAGCGUUAUCCGGAAUCACUGGGCGUAAAGGGUGUCGAGGCGGUUGUAUUAGUCGUUCGUAAAAUCUACGAGCUUAACUUGUAGGCGGCGAACGAAACGGUACGACUUGAGGUUUGGAGAGGUGCGUGGAACUCACGGUGUAGGGGUGAAAUCCGUUGAUAUCGUGGGGAACACCAAAGGCGAAGGCAGCGCACUGGCCAAAAUCUGACGCUCACGCACGAAAGCUAGGGUAGCGAAGAGGAUUAGAUACCCCUGUAGUCCCUGAGCGGGCUGGCAAGGCGCAU
Molecule: ribosomal RNA, 450 nt
Filed under: uncultured bacterium
Lineage: Bacteria
Description: bacterial SSU rRNA
Rfam family: Bacterial small subunit ribosomal RNA
Source: RNAcentral